This is a long non-coding RNA of Myotis myotis, 987 nucleotides long. RefSeq lists it as uncharacterized. The record is from RefSeq and is a predicted model, not a curated record. NCBI's taxonomy places the organism in Eukaryota, Metazoa, Chordata, Mammalia, Chiroptera, Vespertilionidae. The transcript has 4 exons.
GCGCGCGGGACUGCCCUGGGGAGCGGUUCGCUGAGUCCGGGCCUCGCGUGCGGAUGGACGCGGUCCCCGAACGUCACUCGGGCUGCCACCCAGUCUCCCGUGUUCAGUACCCGGAGGACCGGUGCUUUCUUCCCGGCCGCUCACCUGGCCUCAGUUUCGCCAAAAGCGGUUUCUUGGUCGUAGGCGACCCGGAGAGGGCCAAUUUGUGGGGCAACCAGUGGGGCAACUGUGCAUCCCCCGCUUGCACCCGUCUUGGCUGGCCUGUGGCCUGCGGGCUGGGGCAGCUUCUGCGUUGAACAUCUGGUGAAUCUUCAAGGAAAGGAAAUGCGAAGCUAUAGCCUGUGGCAAAGAUCACAGCAUCAAUGUCAUCCUCCCUGGAGCCGUCUUCAAAUAUGGCAGCCGUCUCCGUGAAUUCCUGGACAUUUCCUUUCACCUUCACCAAGCCAGAAAUUAUACGAUUUGGCAGGUCAUCAUUGACUGUUGGAUGCUGACUCAGAGCUCUAUUCCGUGACCACCUCCCAUUGGCCUGACGUGGAGAAAUCGGGCCGCUUUUUCACACUGCACACACUGGUCUGAAAAGGAAAGUGACAGCAACAGGGGACGGUAACCACAGCCUCUGCAGUGGACAUCUUUCCUGAGCUGACUCUCCUUGCAGAGUGACACAAAGGGCUGAUAUCACACAAGAAGGCUCAUGCAGGGGUAUUUGAUUUCCAUACUCCACAAGUAAGAACAUUUUUGUGAGAUGUGGUCAGAGCGAGAAAGCUUCCAUGAGAGAGGCUAAAUAAAAUAGAGUUGGCAGGCUAAUGACGCACUCUUCUCAGCUUCUAGAAAAGUGCAGAUUACUAGGUCUCUUGGAUUAUGCCCUAAGGCAGCGAUUUUCAAGUGGUGUGCUGCGAGAAUUUUUAAAACAUGCAAUACCUGACUAUUUAGUCAGAGGCACUGACCUCUUUUCCCUGAGACUGUCAAGUAAAAAAAUGAAUGACAACA